RNAcentral lists this transfer RNA (76 nucleotides) under Gemmatimonadota bacterium. Its description in RNAcentral is "Gemmatimonadetes bacterium tRNA-Ala". It matches the Rfam family "tRNA". Rfam says of the family: Transfer RNA (tRNA) molecules are approximately 80 nucleotides in length. Their secondary structure includes four short double-helical elements and three loops (D, anti-codon, and T loops). Further hydrogen bonds mediate the characteristic L-shaped molecular structure. tRNAs have two regions of fundamental functional importance: the anti-codon, which is responsible for specific mRNA codon recognition, and the 3' end, to which the tRNAs corresponding amino acid is attached (by aminoacyl-tRNA synthetases). tRNAs cope with the degeneracy of the genetic code in two manners: having more than one tRNA (with a specific anti-codon) for a particular amino acid; and 'wobble' base-pairing, i.e. permitting non-standard base-pairing at the 3rd anti-codon position. The record is from RNAcentral. RNAcentral also lists the same sequence under 1 other name. Lineage: Bacteria; Pseudomonadati; Gemmatimonadota.
GGGGCAGUAGCUCAGUUGGGAGAGCGCUAGGUUCGCAAUCUGGAGGUCGAGGGUUCGAUCCCCUUCUGCUCCACCA